This 680-nucleotide ribosomal RNA is filed under the name uncultured Actinomycetes bacterium. Its description in RNAcentral is "bacterial SSU rRNA". It matches the Rfam family "Bacterial small subunit ribosomal RNA", at positions 26 to 721 of the family's 1533-position model. Lineage: Bacteria; Bacillati; Actinomycetota; Actinomycetes. The record is from RNAcentral.
AGGAUGAACGCUGGCGGCGUGCUUAACACAUGCAAGUCGAACGAUGAUGCCAGCUUGCUGGUGGAUUAGUGGCGAACGGGUGAGUAACACGUGAGUAACCUGCCCUUGACUCUGGGAUAAGCCUGGGAAACUGGGUCUAAUACCGGAUAUGACUGAUCAUCGCAUGGUGGUUGGUGGAAAGCUUUUGUGGUUUUGGAUGGACUCGCGGCCUAUCAGCUUGUUGGUGGGGUAAUGGCCUACCAAGGCGACGACGGGUAGCCGGCCUGAGAGGGUGACCGGCCACACUGGGACUGAGACACGGCCCAGACUCCUACGGGAGGCAGCAGUGGGGAAUAUUGCACAAUGGGCGGAAGCCUGAUGUAGCGACGCCGCGUGAGGGAUGACGGCCUUCGGGUUGUAAACCUCUUUCAGUAGGGAAGAAGCGUAAGUGACGGUACCUGCAGAAGAAGCGCCGGCUAACUACGUGCCAGCAGCCGCGGUAAUACGUAGGGCGCAAGCGUUAUCCGGAAUUAUUGGGCGUAAAGAGCUCGUAGGCGGUUUGUCGCGUCUGCCGUGAAAGUCCGGGGCUCAACUCCGGAUCUGCGGUGGGUACGGGCAGACUAGAGUGAUGUAGGGGAGACUGGAAUUCCUGGUGUAGCGGUGAAAUGCGCAGAUAUCAGGAGGAACACCGAUGGCGAAGG